GACGAACGCUGGCGGCGUGCUUACCACAUGCAAGUCGAACGAAGUGGCGAACGGGUGAGUAACGCGUAAUCAACCUGCCCUUCAUAGGGGGACAACAGUUGGAAACGACUUCUAAUACCGCAUACUGAAGGUGGGGAUUGCGUUUGAUUAGAUGGUUGGUGGGGUAACGGCCCACCAGGGCGAUGAUCAGUGUCCGGUCUUAGAGGAUGAGCGGCCACAUUGGGACUGAGACGCGGCCCAGACUCCUACGGGAGGCAGCAGUGGGGAAUCUUCCGCAAUGGACGAAUGUCUGACGGAGCAACGCCGCGUGAGUGAUGACGGCCUUCGGGUUGUAAAGCUCUGUUAAUCGGGACGCGGUACCGGAAUAGAAAGCAACGGCUAACUACGUGCCAGCAGCCGCGGUAAUAC
Molecule: ribosomal RNA, 408 nt
Filed under: uncultured bacterium
Lineage: Bacteria
Description: partial 16S ribosomal RNA
Rfam family: Bacterial small subunit ribosomal RNA
Source: RNAcentral